Molecule: long non-coding RNA, 1236 nt
Filed under: Brassica rapa (field mustard)
Lineage: Eukaryota; Viridiplantae; Streptophyta; Magnoliopsida; Brassicales; Brassicaceae
Description: long non-coding RNA (BRAP_LNC006109)
Source: RNAcentral
UAAUUGACAACAAUGUCGUCUAAUGGAGAAUUGGGUCAUGCAAAAAUGCAAGUGGGAUAAAGACAACGAGUGAGAUGUUUCUUUCAGAAUGAAAAGUCUUUUGCUUAUUUUAUCCUAUGUAGUAAUAUCCCAACUCAAUCUCAUCCGUCCUUGUUGGAUUUUUAUCUUCCAUCGCACAACUUUGGUAAAAGAAAAUAUACAUACACCUACAUAAGUGUAUGUUUCUCAAUAACAUUAUACUAUUAUUCGUGUUGGGAAAAAUCAAGUUGGCUUAACUAAUUAAAUCCAGUGGGGGUGGUAACUAAAAAUAUGGCCUAACUUAGGCCACCUUAGCAAAACUAAUUAAAUAUAGUGUUAAAUUAAGGUCCUUUAAUUUAAAUUAAUUAAUGCGUGGCUCCCUCCUGACUUCUUACAUUUAAAUAAGAAUAUGACAUAAAGCGUGAGAUAUGUUUAAUCAACUCACUGGGCACCUAAAUUUUCAGAAUCGUCAUUGCAAGCCUAAUUCACGUGAUUAUAUUAGUUCUUGAUCAAAUCAGCAACUUAUAUAUUAAAAUUAGUUCCAAGUUUCUAUAUGUUAUAUGGUUGAUGGGAUUUUUUUUUUUUUUACAGUUAGCAUAUAUUUUGAAUAAAUUUACCAUUUUGGCAUAUUUUAUAGUUAAUUAACUCUUUAUCUUCCUGUAAGUUUACACCGUUUUUAUCAACUAAGAGAUGAUUUGCUGGAAACUGCUUUAAGCUAUAUUUUAUUUUUUAGAAAAGAUGAUUUGUUGGCAAAAUAUCUUUUUUAGCAACACAACAUAUUGAUUGGUGGAAACUGCUUUAAGCUUUUCCAUUACCCGAAUAUGAUUGUUUUGAAAAAAAAGAAAAAAAAAACACAAAUUAGAAAGUAAGGCAUAUAUAAUAUAUCACUAAAACAACCUCUGGUGAACUUUAGUAAAUAUGAUUGACCAAGAUUAAUAAAACAGAGUUUGAUCAGAAACCUAACUAUAUAGUAUUUAAGAUUUGCCUGUUUUAUAAAGACUUUAAACUGUUUUAGUCACUCUCCAAAAUAGUAAUUUUUGGAACAAACAGUUUUUAAAAGCCAGAUAUGACAAGGAGAUCCUUUAAAAUGACGCCAAUUCGUCAAGCUUAAGUUAUAAUUUUUAAUUUGCCAGUUUAGGCUGUCCUAAGAUAGAGUAGUAGGUAUUCUAAUUAAUAUUGUAGAAUAAUGGUGAGUAAUUAACAAAUACUAAAAAUACA